Schistocerca piceifrons (Central American locust) is the source of this 315-nucleotide long non-coding RNA. RefSeq lists it as uncharacterized. The transcript has 3 exons. The record is from RefSeq and is a predicted model, not a curated record. Lineage: Eukaryota; Metazoa; Arthropoda; Insecta; Orthoptera; Acrididae.
GUCCGCAGCUGGUGUGCGCUCACGUGCGGAACGCGUGGGGCUGCCGGCGACGCGACAUGCCCGCAGUGGCCGCCUCUACCGUAGACUGAAGUCUGCCUGCGGCAGCGACGGUGUGUGGACCUGGUGUGUGCAGCGCGCUGCGGCAGCAUUGAUUACAUCGGUGCGUGGAGGAGAUGGACCAUUACCUGGACUACAUCGGCGGGCCAGCCGGCGCGCUCGCGCUGACUGGCGUGGCGGCAGCGUCCGCCUUCUACCUGGCCACCAGGCCCCGGCCCGAGAAGCCGCUGGUCGACCUCAGCCACCAAAGCGACCAAC